CGGAACAAAAGAACUCCACGCUUUUAUCGUCACCAUUCAUUGCCUAAGGCUCAUAGCGGUGCGGGCAAAUAACUCAUAGUCAUCUCAUAGCAAUAACAACAUGAUCGAACUACAGUUUCAUUAUUUUCUUUUGAAUUUCUUACUAGUUUGGUCAGUAGACGACUAUGGAGUAGUCGAGGUCUUUCAGAAAAAAAAAAAUAUAUAUGUUUGCAUAUAUA
This 218-nucleotide long non-coding RNA is filed under the name Capsella rubella. Its description in RNAcentral is "long non-coding RNA (CRUB_LNC004849)". Lineage: Eukaryota; Viridiplantae; Streptophyta; Magnoliopsida; Brassicales; Brassicaceae. The record is from RNAcentral.